Long non-coding RNA from Aethina tumida (small hive beetle), 266 nucleotides. RefSeq lists it as uncharacterized. The record is from RefSeq and is a predicted model, not a curated record. NCBI's taxonomy places the organism in Eukaryota, Metazoa, Arthropoda, Insecta, Coleoptera, Nitidulidae. The transcript is spliced from 2 exons.
AGGGUCCGGAAAAAAGAAAAGCUAAGUGAAGGUGAGAUACAGAGAGUGAAAGAGUGCUUACACAGCUUUGUCGUCUAAACUAGGGAUGCUAUCGCCACCCCUACUCCUGCAAAGUCUCCCAGCUCCAAAACUCAGAAAACUUCUUGGAACUCGGUCACCCCCAAGGAGGUGAUGUCGAAAUUGUGUAACUACGACGCACCCCACCAUUUAUGGUUCAGUGAUGAAAUUUAUGUAUAUUGAAUUGUAUUAAAGUAUUUUAGACCAAG